GCGGGCGUUGCAUAGUGGCAGUGCUCUAGCCUUCCAAGCUAGAAGUGUGGGUUCGAUUCCCACCGCCCGCUCCA
RNAcentral lists this transfer RNA (74 nucleotides) under Candidatus Auribacterota bacterium. RNAcentral describes it as "tRNA-Gly". It matches the Rfam family "tRNA". From Rfam's summary of the family: Transfer RNA (tRNA) molecules are approximately 80 nucleotides in length. The record is from RNAcentral. Lineage: Bacteria; Pseudomonadati; Candidatus Auribacterota.